Limulus polyphemus (Atlantic horseshoe crab) is the source of this 889-nucleotide long non-coding RNA. RefSeq lists it as uncharacterized. The transcript is spliced from 4 exons. Lineage: Eukaryota; Metazoa; Arthropoda; Merostomata; Xiphosura; Limulidae. The record is from RefSeq and is a predicted model, not a curated record.
UUAAGUUGAAUGGCAUACUUAUAACCAAUCGAAAGAGCAGAUUUCACUCUUCAAGGUUGCUUAUCCUUACACGACAUAUAUGAGAUACAUUUCUUUUCAGCGCCAUUAUAAUGAGGUUAAGUUCACUGUUGAGAGUAGUGUCUGUAGCACUUGGCAAUUUUCUAUUGUCUUAUAUGUAUUAGUUUGAUAGACAGUUUGAUUGGAUUUAGGUUUUACUUGUAUAUGUUAGUUGAUUAUAUAUUAUUUGUGUUUUAAGAUUUAUAUUUGAAAGGUUUAAUUAUUUUUAAAAUUAUUCUUUACUUUGAAUCACUAAAACAGCUUUGAGACACAAGUGCAAAAAAUAUUAUGCAGGAAGGACUAAACCUAACAGCUGAAGUUAACACUUGUUGAUGUGUGUCAACAUAAAUAAUCAAAGAUAAAGAACAGGAGAGGAAAAUAAAACAUUAAAAAUAAACUAUAAGUGACAAGAUAAAGAUGUGAAAUUACACUGAAGAUGUCAUUAAAACAAGCAUUGAAGAUUUAAAAGGUGCCAUGGUACCUUAGCAGUUAUCCCCCACUUCAGCAUCUAAAGGAUCCUGUCUCAUGCUGAUUGGCUGUCUCAGGGAAAGGGGGAGGGGAGACCGCUAAAGAUGAAAACGUUAUAGUUCCGAAAGUUUCCACCAGAAGGCGCAUGUUAGGCCGCCAUGAAAGGCGGCCGUGAUGUCAUAGUUCCAAAAUUUACAACCAAAGGGCGCGUUAUUAGGCCACCAUGACAGGUAGCCAUAAUGGAUGAUUACAUGAUAGUAGAGGAUGAAUUACUAGGCUGCCUACAAUACAUGUCCCAACAUGUCUAUAAUUAAUCACUAAUUCAUUAAUCGAUGAAAUCGUUUAUAAUUAAAUCAUCCUAAAA